UGUCACAGUUGCUUGUCUUUAUACCUGUUGGAGGCAGAUUUUGUGGGAAUAUGAUUCUUAAUGGUUAGGCAUUGGAACUGUUUGCUUGCAGUGUUACAGUGGACCGGCUCUGUAUAGCUAAACUCAGCAGACUGACUGGCUGUUCCAAGGGACAUAUUUACCACUGGCUUAUCCCAUUUGAAGAUGUCACUCAGAGUUCAUUCAAGUAGAGGUCUGAAAAAACUCGAUCUUUCUGGAUAAAAGUCCCAGAAUCACGUACAAUUUGGUUGGAAGGGAUUGCUGGAUGUCAUCUGCUCCAUUAUCAUACUCUAAGCACUGCUGCCAUCAGAAAGAGGGAAAAAAAAGAGAAGCAGAAAGGGGCCUACAGAUAGGACCUGGUUCUGUGAAGGCAUGCCAUGCAUUGAGUGAUUGCAUAUUCUCAUUUGAUGAGCACAAUGAGAAUUCUUUUUCUGAUGCCAACAGCGUGCGUUUCAGUGAGCCUUUGCCUCUAAAAGUCCUUGAGCAGCUGCUGCAUUCACAAGCUAAAGAAUGGGGAUGGCUUGUUCCUACUGCUCAGUAAUGGCUAUGCCAAACCAGACCCUGCUUUGGCACAAAAGGUGGAGGCAGGCUGCUGCCACGAUGCUGCAACCCUCCCAGCUACAGAAAACAUCAGGAAAUCAGUGGGCACAUCUGCCAUAAACUUACCAAGAAUAUCUGCAAUUUUAAAUAAAAUGGAAGAACUAGAUUUGUGCCCUUAUAAAAAUAAAAGGAAAAUAGGCUAUCUGGUAUUGAAUAAAAACUAGGCAUCCUCCUGAAAAAUAAGUGUUUAGAAAUCUAUUUUUAUUCCACAUGGAUGUCUGAAUCAAUGAAGCCAGCUAACUUUCAAGCUAAUAAAACAGAGGUAGGAAAGAAUUCAAAAAGCAAACCAAAACAGAAAGGGAGGAGAGGGUCAGUUUGCUAGCAUUCAGCUAGGCUAGCCUGCAUUGCUAGUUAUCUGAGAAAAUUCAACCAGAGUAAAGGGUGGUAUUUGCAUUUUUGGGGCUGCUGGGGAUUGGCACUCUUAUUCUACAUACAUCAAAUGGGCUUUUGUUGGACAUAUAUAUAAAUACACCUCUCCUCACAGUUUUCUCUAAAGCAGCUUCAGUGUAUCUUCAUUAUCACUCAACAUGUAGAUAAAUAAUCUUUGCCUUGCCUACCUUAGGAUGUGUAAACUGGAAAGAUGUUAGCACACCAAGUCUUUGUGAUCAUCUCCGUUCACUCUGACAGUUGCUAAAGGUAUCUCAUCCAAAAUGACAACAAAACAGCACCCCAUGGAUCAAAUCAUAAGCAAGACAUAAUAUACCAGGAGCC
This is a long non-coding RNA of Gallus gallus (chicken), 1329 nucleotides long. RefSeq lists it as uncharacterized. The record is from RefSeq and is a predicted model, not a curated record. The transcript has 6 exons. Lineage: Eukaryota; Metazoa; Chordata; Aves; Galliformes; Phasianidae.